RNAcentral lists this small RNA (596 nucleotides) under Pongo abelii (Sumatran orangutan). RNAcentral describes it as "retained intron". Lineage: Eukaryota; Metazoa; Chordata; Mammalia; Primates; Hominidae. The record is from RNAcentral.
AAACAAAAAUUGAUGCAAAUACCUGAUGAAGAGGGUAUUGUUAUUGAUGGAUUUCCAAGAGAUGUUGCCCAGGCUCUAUCUUUUGAGGAUCAAAUCUGUACCCCCGAUUUGGUGGUAUUCCUGGCUUGUGCUAAUCAGAGACUCAAAGAAAGAUUACUGAAGCGUGCAGAACAGCAGGGCCGACCAGACGACAAUGUAAAAGCUACCCAAAGGAGACUAAUGAACUUCAAGCAGAACGCUGCUCCCUUGGUUAAAUACUUCCAGGAAAAGGGGCUCAUCAUGACAGUAAGUUAGCUCGACUUUUACAAGUCCAAUACAAGAGUGCUCUUUCAGAUUUCUCAUUAGCCGAUGUUCUCAUUUAGAAAUCCUCUUUACCUUAAAAAGUGGCUUUUGGGGGGUACAGAACCAAUGGAAAAAAAUGUAUCAUUUUGACCUGAUUUGCCUUUUUAAGCCAUAAUGUUUUUUUAAAAACUUUCAUUUUAAUUUGAUUGAUUUUUAUGAAAGAAGAUAAAUUUUAACCUUGGCCAAAAUUCUGUAGUCCUCAAGUAAAAAAGCGUUUUAAAGUAACUGUCUGGGUGAUUGUAAGCAAUAUUUGU